RNAcentral lists this ribosomal RNA (468 nucleotides) under uncultured bacterium. RNAcentral describes it as "partial 16S ribosomal RNA". The stretch from base 53 to 468 matches the Rfam family "Bacterial small subunit ribosomal RNA", at positions 35 to 507 of the family's 1533-position model. The record is from RNAcentral.
GGGGGGGGGGGGGGGGGGGGGGGGGGGGGGGGGGGGGGGGGGGGGGGGGGGGGUUGGGGGGGGGGCGCGGGGGGCGGACGGGGGGGUAGCACGUGGGUAACCUGCCCGUGACUUUGGGAUAACUUCAGGAAACUGGGGCUAAUACCGGAUCGGAGCUCCUGCUGCAGGGUGGGGGUUGGAAAGUUUCGGCGGUUGGGGAUGGACUCGCGGCUGAUCAGCUUGUUGGUGGGGUAGUGGCUUACCAGGGCUUUGACGGGUAGCCGGCCUGGGAGGGUGACCGGCCACAUUGGGACUGAGAUACGGCCCAGACUCCUACGGGAGGCAGCAGUGGGGAAUAUUGCACAAUGGGCGGAAGCCUGAUGCAGCAACGCCGCGUGCGGGAUGACGGCCUUCGGGUUGUAAACCGCUUUCGCCUGUGACGAAGCGUGAGUGACGGUAAUGGGUAAAGAAGCACCGGCUAACUACGUG